GCAGUCGAGGGGCAGCGAGAGUGAUAGCAAUAUUACUUGUCGGCGACCGGCGCACGGGUGCGUAACGCGUAUGCAACCUACCAUCAACAGGGGGAUAACACUGAGAAAUUGGUACUAAUACCCCAUAAUAUCUCAUGCGGCAUCGCAUGGGGUUGAAAACUCCGGUGGUUGAUGAUGGGCAUGCGUUGUAUUAGCUGGUUGGUGAGGUAACGGCUCACCAAGGCGACGAUACAUAGGGGGACUGAGAGGUUAACCCCCCACAUUGGUACUGAGACACGGACCAAACUCCUACGGGAGGCAGCAGUGAGGAAUAUUGGUCAAUGGACGCAAGUCUGAACCAGCCAUGCCGCGUGCAGGAUGACGGCUCUAUGAGUUGUAAACUGCUUUUGUACGAGGGUAAACCCCGAUACGUGUAUCGGGUUGAAAGUAUCGUACGAAUAAGGAUCGGCUAACUCCGUGCCAGCAGCCGCGGUAAUACGGAGGAUCCGAGCGUUAUCCGGAUUUAUUGGGUUUAAAGGGUGCGUAGGCGGUUUGAUAAGUUAGAGGUGAAAUGUCGGGGCUCAACCCCGAAACUGCCUCUAAUACUGUUGGACUAGAGAAUAGUUGCGGUAGGCGGAAUGUAUGGUGUAGCGGUGAAAUGCUUAGAGAUCAUACAGAACACCGAUUGCGAAGGCAGCUUACCAAACUAUAUCUGACGUUGAGGCACGAAAGCGUGGGUAGCAAACAGGAUUAGAUACCCUGGUAGUCCACGCAGUAAACGAUGAUAACUCGUUGUCGGCGAUACACAGUCGGUGACUAAGCGAAAGCGAUAAGUUAUCCACCUGGGGAGUACGUUCGCAAGAAUGAAACUCAA
Molecule: ribosomal RNA, 853 nt
Filed under: uncultured bacterium
Lineage: Bacteria
Description: bacterial SSU rRNA
Rfam family: Bacterial small subunit ribosomal RNA
Source: RNAcentral